AGUGAACGCUGGCGGUAGGCCUAACACAUGCAAGUCGAACGGCAGCACAGUAAUAUCUUGCGCUUACGGGUGGCCAGUCGCGGACGUGUCACGAAUACAUCGUAAUCUACUUUUUCGUAUAAGUUAACGUAGGGAAACUUACUCUAAUACCGCAUACGCCCUUCCGUUGAAAGCGUUGGAUCUUCUGACCUUGCGCGAUUGGAUUCGCCGAUGUCGGAUUAGCUAGUUGGCGGGGUAAAGACCCAGCAAGUCGACGAUCCGUAGCUUGUCUGAGAGGAUGGUCAGCCACACUGGAGCUGAGACACGGUCAAGACUCCUACGGGAGGCAGCAGUGGGGAAUAGUGGACAAUGGGCGCAAGCCUGAUCCAGCCAUACCGCGUGGGUGAAGAAGGCGUUCGGGUUGUAAAGACCUUUUGUUGGGAAAGAAAAGCAGCAGGUUAAUACCAAGCUGGUCUGACGGUACCGAAAGAAUAAGCACCGGCUAACUUCGUG
RNAcentral lists this ribosomal RNA (492 nucleotides) under uncultured bacterium. Its description in RNAcentral is "partial 16S ribosomal RNA". It matches the Rfam family "Bacterial small subunit ribosomal RNA", at positions 29 to 507 of the family's 1533-position model. The record is from RNAcentral.